Molecule: ribosomal RNA, 491 nt
Filed under: uncultured bacterium
Lineage: Bacteria
Description: partial 16S ribosomal RNA
Rfam family: Bacterial small subunit ribosomal RNA
Source: RNAcentral
AGUGAACGCUGGCGGUAGGCCUAACACAUGCAAGUCGAACGGCAGCACAGUAAGAGCUUGCUCUUACGGGUGGCGAGUGGCGGACGGGUGAGGAAUACAUCGGAAUCUACUUUUUCGUGGGGGAUAACGUAGGGAAACUUACGCUAAUACCGCAUACGACCUACGGGUGAAAGCAGGGGAUCUUCGGACCUUGCGCGAUUGAAUGAGCCGAUGUCGGAUUAGCUAGUUGGCGGGGUAAAGGCCCACCAAGGCGACGAUCCGUAGCUGGUCUGAGAGGAUGAUCACCAAAAGUGAAACGAGGACACGGCCAAACCUCCAAGGGAGGGAGCAAGUGGGGAAUAUUGGAAAAGGGGCGAAGGCCGAACCAGGCCAUACCGCGUGGGUGAAAAGGGCCUUCGGGUUGUAAAGCCUUUUUGUUGGGAAGAAAAAGCAGAAGGUUAAAACCCCGCUGUUCUGAGGGUACCAAAAAAAAAAGAACGGGCUAACUUCGU